This 486-nucleotide ribosomal RNA is filed under the name uncultured bacterium. RNAcentral's name for it is "bacterial SSU rRNA". It matches the Rfam family "Bacterial small subunit ribosomal RNA", at positions 791 to 1281 of the family's 1533-position model. The record is from RNAcentral.
UAGUCCACGCCCUAAACGAUGAAUACUCGAUGUUGGCGAUAUACAGUCAGCGUCCAAGCGAAAGCGUUAAGUAUUCCACCUGGGGAGUACGUCCGCAAGGAUGAAACUCAAAGAAAUUGGCGGGGGUCCGCACAAGCGGUGGAUUAUGUGGUUUAAUUCGAUGAUACGCGAGGAACCUUACCAAGGCUCGAAUGCUGGGGGAAUUAUUCAGAAAUGGAUAAGCCUUUAUGGUCGCCAGCAAGGUGCUGCAUGGUUGUCGUCAGCUCGUGCCGUGAGGUGUUGGGUUAAGUCCCGCAACGAGCGCAACCCCUUUCGUUAGUUGCCAGCAUUAAGUUGGGGACUCUAGCGAUACUGCCUCCGUAAGGAGAGAGGAAGGAGGGGAUGACGUCAAAUCAUCAUGGCCUUUAUGCCUUGGGGCUACACACGUAAUACAAUGGUAGGGGACAAAGAGCAGCUACUUGGCGACAAGAUGCGAAUCUCAAAAAA